Ictidomys tridecemlineatus (thirteen-lined ground squirrel) is the source of this 1632-nucleotide long non-coding RNA. NCBI's taxonomy places the organism in Eukaryota, Metazoa, Chordata, Mammalia, Rodentia, Sciuridae. The record is from Ensembl.
CUAAGGAUGCCACAUUGCACCGUGGAAGUAGAGCAACAGAGAGUAUGUAACCUGGCUCUGAGGCUGCAGAAACUGGAGAAUGGCGAGCACCUCUUCAAAUUCUGCUUGAAGAAUUCAGUGAUUUACAGUUCACUAAAACUGCACAAAAUGUGGAAAGGAUGGCUGAGGAAAACAUCCUGAUUUUGCUUGCUUUUUAUAAGUGUUAUGUAUAGAUGAAUAAAGUGUUUGAUCCUUUUUAACAGAACAGUGUUUGUUACCUUGACCCACUGCGUGAAUUUUGAAGAGACUGCUAUUUGUCUUCUAUUUGAUUUUUUUGAAAUGUAUUCAUCAGAUAUUUACCCAGGUGGGAUUCCAAAUAUGUAAGAGGGCUGAGCAGCCAAAGAAGAGAACCAUGAGUCCUGCAUUUUGUAGACAUUGGAGAUCAGAGACACGACAGGUGAUGUGUGCACAGAUGGACAUGCAGCCCAGGAGGAUUGCAGGCUGGGUAGGCGGAGCUUGGCCUGUCUGCUUCUGUCCAUAGUCUCUCUCUUGUUUCCUCUGGCUUUGCCAGCAAGAGUAUCGUGUGAGGAUUUUUCUGGAUUAGGCUUUUUAUCUUUUUGUUUUCCAAGGUGUGUGACAGAGUGACUUUCAGAUGAGGAGCCUGAGACAGACACUACAGAGCCUACAGACAUGUUUAGGCAACAGGACCCCCAUGACAGUUACCUGGACUAACAGGAUGGACUCAUUCAUUCUCCCCAGUCUCUUUCCAUCUCUCUGCUGUUCGCCCUUCACAGUGUUGGUGUCUUACUGAAGCUGGCUUCCCUCAUAGUUGUGAGAAUGCUGGCAACCAUUUCCAGGGCUGUCGUUUCCCUGUCCCAUUUUGAGGAGACAGAAGAUUCUUUUCAGGACUUAUCUUAGAAACACAAGAAGGAAAACUUCCCAGCAGCCCCCAGCAAGCCUCUGUUUGUAUUCAUGGGCCCUAAUUGAGUGACAUAUUCAUUCCUGAGCCAUUAAGUGACAGAAGGAUGGACCAUGCUGAUGAGCUCAGGCCUGAGCUCCUUACCCCUCUCCAAGAGGCCGCUUCCCCACAGGCUCUGGGACUGCGGAGAAGGACUGGACACCUGAAUAGAAACUGAGGAGGAAGGGCAUCAAGAAGCAAGCCCAUAUCCAUCUCAUUACAUGGAUCUGUCCAGUCAAAGCUCAAGAUUCUUUUUUCCUUCACAGCCAUGUGACUUUGGAUGAAUUAUUUAAUCUCUCAACAGUUUCACCAUCUGGGAAACAGGGAUAACAUUACAAUAUUUCAUGAAUUGAGAACUAAGAUUUAUUCAUUCUUUGUCAUUUGCUGCCAUCAUCUUUUGUACCAUGGUUUUUGUUAUUUUCUUCCUUAAAAAGCUAAGAUGAUUUCCCACUGCUUAUAGGACAAAUAAGAAUCUUACCUGCCUUGCUGGGUGCAGUGGCACAUGUCUGUAAUCCCAGGAGCUUGGGAGGCUAAAGCAGGAGGAUCGCAGGUUGAAAGCCAACCUCAACAAUUUAGUGAGGCCAUGAGCAACUUAGCAAGACCCUGUCUCAAAAUACAAAAAGGCUGAGGGAUGUGGCUCAGUGGUUAAACACCCUGGGAACCCUCCCCAAAAGGAAGAAUCUUACCAGCCUCAA